GACGAACGCUGGCGGCGUGCCUAAUACAUGCAAGUCGAGCGGACGAUUCGAAAGCUUGCUUUUGAAUCGUUAGCGGCGGACGGGUGAGUAACGCGUGGGCAACCUGCCCUGUAGACGGGGAUAACACCGAGAAAUCGGUGCUAAUACCGGAUAACACGAAAUGUCGCAUGACGUUUCGUUGAAAGGCGGCGCAAGCUGCCGCUACAGGAUGGGCCCGCGGCGCAUUAGCUAGUUGGUGAGGUAACGGCUCACCAAGGCGACGAUGCGUAGCCGACCUGAGAGGGUGAUCGGCCACACUGGGACUGAGACACGGCCCAGACUCCUACGGGAGGCAGCAGUAGGGAAUCUUCCGCAAUGGACGAAAGUCUGACGGAGCAACGCCGCGUGAGCGAAGAAGGCCUUCGGGUCGUAAAGCUCUGUUGUUAGGGAAGAACAAGUAACGUAGUAACUGACGUUACUAUGACGGUACCUAACGAGAAAGCCACGGCUAACUACGUG
This 498-nucleotide ribosomal RNA is filed under the name uncultured bacterium. RNAcentral's name for it is "partial 16S ribosomal RNA". It matches the Rfam family "Bacterial small subunit ribosomal RNA", at positions 28 to 507 of the family's 1533-position model. The record is from RNAcentral.